Molecule: long non-coding RNA, 489 nt
Filed under: Olea europaea subsp. europaea
Lineage: Eukaryota; Viridiplantae; Streptophyta; Magnoliopsida; Lamiales; Oleaceae
Source: RNAcentral
CCUCCACAACCACCUACUACUAGCCACCAGCAUUCACUCUAUUACAAUCGCCAUCCAACAUCCUCCACCACCCAACCCCAAAAAUGCAGAAGUUUCCAAUUUCAAACCCCAAAAAUCAUGCUUUUAUAGUUCAGUGAAUGGAUUGAAGUGAUAUUUGCCUUUUUUUUUUUUUAAGAUUUUGAUAAGUUGAUGCUGUUGGUACUAGCACCACUGCCCCCUCACCACCACUGCCUCUCCCAGUCGGAGCAUUUUCUUCGGUGGCGCCACAUUCCCAGAUUGCAUUGCCAUACUCCUUUGAGCCACAUUAUUUAAAAAAAAAUACAUUUUUCAACCGUAAUUUGAUAUCAUUUCAAUCACAUUUUUUAAUAAAAUAAUAUUACACGCAAAUUUAAAAUAUUUCUUUAUUUUUUAACCACACAUUUCCCAUCAAUAUACUAUGCAAAAAUACAUUUUCAUUCCAAUAAUGUGGUUCAAACAAUGGCAUGUAUA